This 85-nucleotide transfer RNA is filed under the name Neurospora crassa. RNAcentral describes it as "tRNA predict as a tRNA- Ala : anticodon agc". Lineage: Eukaryota; Fungi; Ascomycota; Sordariomycetes; Sordariales; Sordariaceae. The record is from RNAcentral.
UGGACGAGCUGGGAAUCGAACCCAGGACCUUUCGCAUACAGAUGAGUAUGCUAAGCGAACGCUCUACCAACUGAGCCACACGCCC